GUAGGUAGAACUUUGCAAGAGAUUCACAAAUGUAGAUAGCAUAUGAAUUAAUUUUAAAAUAAAUAAAUCAAGUUAUUAGGUUAUCUGAAAACUUAAAUUAAAGAGCAACAUAUAAUUUGUAGGUCUAGAAUUUAGUCAUUUAACCUCCAUAGUUAAAAGAGCCAGUAGUUAAUGUGAUUAGGUUCAUUAAAUAGAGAGCAAUUAGUCAAGUCAUAUGCAACAUUUUAUUGUAUAGGUAAAAUAAAGCGGCAACCUUCAUCAUUUUUCCAUAAGCAUGAUUAUACCAAAAACUAUUAUCAUCGUGGGGACCUCAAGGUGAUGGUGAUCAUGAUUUAUUGAAAAUAAAACUAGGUUGUACUCCUAGUAGCCAUGUUUUUAUAGGGAGAGAUAUACAAAGGUUGCAUCGAAUUUAUGAUUGAAGGCUUAUAUGCACAUGCAUUUAGAAAGAAAUGUACAAAGAGAAGGUUGAGGAAGAAUUUACACAGGCAUCGAUGCUUGCAAUGAAGUGUAGUGCAGCUUCCCCCAUGUUUAAGCAUUGUGCUUAGCAUGGAAGAAGAAAAAUAAGUAGCUUGUGGCGAUCGUGAUCAUUGUACUCUACGCGGCAUUUUUAUUAUUGUCUAGCAAGUUCUCC
RNAcentral lists this long non-coding RNA (631 nucleotides) under Setaria viridis. RNAcentral's name for it is "long non-coding RNA (SVIR_LNC002811)". The record is from RNAcentral. Lineage: Eukaryota; Viridiplantae; Streptophyta; Magnoliopsida; Poales; Poaceae.